GUCCCAACCUCGCCUUCUCUGAAACCUAACCCCGAAUCCUGCCUCCUCCCCAAUUUUACUUCUCUGAAACCCCCCCACAGCGAUGGGGAAAGACGAAGAGAACAACGGUUUGAUGAGAAAUACUAAUUGGGGAAAGAGCAUGGCUACAGAUCUAUAGCCGCAGGGAAGCUGGUUCAACUUGAUUACUAGUUCGGAAUUUUUCGCUCCGCUAAUUCGUGCUCGAUCUCUGCGCCGCACCUGGUGGCUGGAUUCAAGUAGCUUUCGAGAAGAUGCUGAUGGGCAUUCUAGUAAUUGGAGUCGACUGCAACUCGAUUCAAUCCAUCGAAGGUGCAUUCUCCGUGCGGGAGAGUACUAGGGCCCCCAAGUAUAAGGACGUUAUUAAGAAACUCAUGGCGGAAGGUGGAUGCGGAGCUUUUGACAUGGUGCUACUCGAUGGCUAUAAGGGUAUUAAUGUCGCGUGGGUUAGGGAGGCCAUCAAUCAGAAUGCUCUAGACUCUAGUUUUUGAUUCCGUUAAGCUUGCUACGGAGGCUUUGGCUGACAAGGGAAGUUUUUUUACCAAGGUAUUGUAAUAUGUAUAUGUUUAAUAAUAUAUCUUGUUCUUAUGUAACUAUGAACGAGGUUAUUUUGAAGCAAUUAAAUGUCACGGCUCGAACCUUCAACAAUGGCAGCUCUUCACUGUAACACAGAGAAUGCACUGAACUUAGCUGAAAUAGCUAAGAUUAUAUCACUAAACAAAGAUAAAAAAGAGAAGGGGAAUAAGAUAAAAGAGAACUUUAGAAGAAAGAGAGGAGAAGUGUUGAACGAUUUCAACCGCCACUGAAAAUAUCAUGUUACCAAAGCUUCCAGAACCAUUUGCCCCCUUUCUGCAUCUAUAGGCUCAGCUGGAAGUCGUAUUACCAAAAAUGAAAUAAAGAAAACGUGUUUCAACAAAACAUAUUACAAUUUCAUUUAAUUCAAAACGGCACCGUAUGACUUUGAAUUCCAGUUGCUCUUCUUGGCUUCUUCUUUCCUUCUUCUAGUUCUGCUUCUUUUCCCUCCCCAAUUACUCUUCACGUGACAACCCUUCACCUCACCUUGAUCUUGUCCCCAAGAUCCACAGUAGGGAAACUGUAGUUUGAUCCAAUCGGUGUCUUCCCAGGUUUCACAAUCUAGAGUAGAAUUUGACCAAUGAAUAAGCCACUGGAUGGUGGUGUUAUUUUUUUACGAGUAAUGGUCCUGGACUGUAAGAUGGAUAAUGGAUGAUAUGUUGGUAGUUUAGACCGAUUCUCAUCAGGCAAUUGAAGUACUGGCAUUGCCCUGUCACCUAACUUCUUCUUGAACAAUGAAACAUGAAAGACUGGAUGAAUUCUGGAGCUGGCAGGAAGUGCCAAUUUGUAUGCCACCGUGCCUAUCUUCUUGGUAAUCUGAUAUGGUCCAAAGUAUCUAGCUCCCAGCUUGUGAUUUAUCCUGUGUUCCACUGAUUAUUGUGUGUAAGGAUGAAGCUUGAGGAAGACCCACUCUCCUUCAUUAAAAGACCUCUCAGAACGCUUCGUGUCAGCAUAUAGUUUCAUCUUUGCUCCUGCUUGUGCUAAGUUUUCUUUCAGCUGUUGAUUUAGUUGGUACCUAUGCUGUAGUAAUUCUUCGACUGCAGCCACAUUGGACUGCUGGUAAAGAUCUAAUGAGAGCUGAGGAGGCUUGAUCCCAUAAAGAGCUUCAAAGGGAGUCAUUCAGAUAGAGGAAUGAUAGGAGGUAUUGUACCACCACUCAGCUAAUGAUAACCACUUACCCCAUUGUUUAGGAUGUUGAAAAGUCAUGCACUGUAGGUACAUUUCAAGGCACUGCUUGAGUCGUUCUGUCUGCCCAUCAAAUUGAGGAUGGUAGGUAGAACUUAAAUGCAGCUGGAUACCCAUGAGUUUAAACAAUUCUUGCCAGAAUUUGCUUGUAAAUAUCUUAUCCUUGUUAGAAAUGAUGUUCUGAGGUAUGCCUUGAAGUUUAAAAAUAGAAUCAAGGAAAUUUUUGGCAAUUGUCACGGCUGUGAAUGGAUGCGGAAGUGCCAAGAAAUGACCAUACUUUGUAAAUCUGUAGACCACCACUAAUAUAGUAUCUUUACCUCCUGAAUUAGGCAAUCCUUCAAUGAAGUCCAUACUAAUGUGGCUCCAAGCAUGUAGAGGCACAGGAAGAGGCUUUAACAAUCCAGGGUAAGGCACAUUCUCCCCUUUACACUUCUGGCAGAUUUCACACUGGAGACGUCAGUUUUGAUGUCUCGGUUCAUGCCAGGCCCGUAAAAAUGUUGCUUUGCUUUGUAGAUGCUGCCAUUAUGCCCUCCUUCUUGAGACCCAUGAAUAUUCUGAAUUAGUUUAGAUUUGAUAUUACCCCCUGAACCUAUGUAUAACCUGCCUUUAUACUUCAAAAUAUUGUUGAGGUAUAGGAAGUCUGGAUCUGCUGUUGAAUUUAAGAUGACUGACUGGAUUUUCUCCCUAGCAAAGUUGUCCUCCUUGUAGCUAUCAAUAACUCUUGUAUCCAAGUGGGAAUAAAAGUGGUGAUUCCCGCACACUCCACCUCUUUCUCAUGCCUCCUUGACAAUGCAUCAGCUACUAAGUUAUCAAUUCCUCGUUUAUACAAUCUUUCAUAACUGAGUCCCAACAAUUUAGUGAGCCAUUGCUGUUGAAGAGGGGUUGUAAUCCUCUGUUCUAAAAGAUAUUUGAGAGAUUGGUGGUCAGUCUUUAUGAUGAAGUGGUGGCCCUCUAAAUAAUGUCUCCAUUUACUAACAGCAGUGACUAAGGCUAGUAGUUCCUUUUCGUAUAUUGACAUACCCCUGUUCCUGAUUCCAAUAGCUUUGCUUAGGUAAGCUAGAGGCCUUCUGCCUUGCAUUAGCACAGCACCAAUUCCACUUUGGCAAGCAUCGGUUUCAAUGAUAAAGGGUUGAUGGAAAUCAGGUAAAGCAAGCACAGGCGUUGAACUCAUGGCUUGUUUUAAUCCUUCAAAGGCUAAAUCUCCAGCCUCUGUCCGUUGAAAAUUGUCUUUCUUAAUCAUAUCUGUUAAUGGCCUGGCUAUCACCCCGUAACUCUUGACAAACUUCCUGUAAUACCCAGUCAACCCUAGGAAGCCCCUCAAUUGUUUGAUAUUCCUAGGUUUAGGCCAUAGCUGCAUUGCUUCCACGUUGCUGGGAUCAGCAGAGACUCCUUCUUUGCUAAUAAUAUGACCUAGGUACUCAACCUUCAAUUGCCCAAAACUGCACUUGGACCUCUUGGCAUAUAGUUGAUGUUUCUAUAAUAUCCCUAUUACUGAUUCUAGAUGUUGGCAAUGAGAGGAUAGAUCAGUGCUGUACACUAAAAUAUCAUCAAAAAAUACUAAGACGUAUCUCCUCAGCUGGUCCUUGAAUACCUCAUUCAUGAGGCUUUGGAAGGUAGCGGGUGCAUUGGUGAGGCUAAAGGGCAUCACCUUGAUCUCAUACAGCCCUUGUUGUGUUUUAAAUGAAGUCUUAUGAACAUCUCUUUCAGUAACCCUUAUAUGAUGAUAACCUGCUCUAAGAUCAUUUUUCGAAAAAAACUUCGCUCCAUGAAGUUCAUCUAAUAGUUCAUCAAUAAGUGGCAUUGGGAAUUUGUCCUUGAUUGUUAAGGCAUUCAACUGCCUGUAAUCAACACAGAAUCUCCAAGUCCCAUCUUUCUUCUUGACAAGGAGUACAGGUGAGGCAAAAGGACUAUUGCUUGCUUGUAUAAUCCCAGAUUCCAGCAUUUCUUUAAUCAACUUUUCUAUCUCUGUCUUCUGAAUGAACGGACACCUGUAGGGUCUUAUUUUAAAAGGCCGGGCACCUUCUUUAAGAGGAAUGUGGUGGUCAUGUGAUCUUGGUGGAGGCAGCCCUUUUGGUUUCUUAAACACCCCCUAGAAUUGAUGGAUUACUUCCAGUAGUUUGCUAGGUACCACCUCUUUGGGUUUUUCCUCUUUAGGGGCAUAUAAUUGUCCCAUAACUCCAUAGUGAUUCUUGUCCAUUAUCCUUUCCAUCGCUUGUGCCUCUAUCAUGUCCACUGAUAAUUUUGAUACUUCAUCUCUGAACUUCACCUCAGUGUUCUGUCUCUUGAACUUCAUAACCCUCAGCAAAAUCAAAUUCAAUAGGGCCAAAUUGGUUCAUCCAAUUCACUCCCAAAACCAUGUCACUUCCUGCCAACUUAAGGGUCCUAAGCUUUUAUUGGAAUUCCCAACUUUGAAUCUUCCGUACCACUGGUUGACAAAUGGCUUUACUUUCUAGUUUAUCCCCAUUUGCUACCCUGACAGUUACUUUGUUGGACUCUUCAGUGUUGUAUUUCAACUCUCUAGCCAAUGUCUCAUCUAAAAAACUAUGAGUGCUCCCAUCGUCUAUUAAGGUGGAUAUUAUUUUUCCCCCGAUGUUUCCUAGUACCUUGAUGAACGAUUUCAACAAUACCACUGAAAAUAUCAGGUUACCAAAGCUUCCAGAACCAUUUGUCCCUUUUCUGUAUCUAUAGGCUCAGCCGGAAGUCGUAUUACCAAAAGAAAAUAAAGAAAACGUGUUUUAACAAAACAUAUUACAAUUUCAUUUAAUUUAAAACGGCACCGUAUGACUUUGAAUUCCAGUUGCUCUUAUUGGCUUCUUCUUUCCUCCUCCUGGUUCUGCUUCUUUUCCCUCCCCAAUUACUCUUCACGUGACAUUAAAAUUGACUCUAAUUCCAGACUUGGAUACUUAAUUAUAGCUUUAAAAGUUUAAUGUUAAUGGUUUAUUGUAUUUAGAACACAUAAGCACUCUAAUAAAUAUUUUAUGUUUGAAAAGGUGAUACUUGCGAAUUAGUUGAUGCAAUUUGUGUAAGCAAUUUGCAAACAUAGGAUUUGAAAGUUUUAGGUGUUUCUGGAAUGAAUUAAGCUAUUUGCAAAGUUGAAGAAAAUUUAUGGAUUUUUGGAGUUUAUUUUGUGCGCCUGCAGGUAAGGUUGUGCAACGGGUGUCAUGUUUCUUACAAGCAAACUAGUGGCUUUCAGUGUUCCUUAUGUCCAUACUUGCAAAUAUAUUGGGUUCAGUGUCAUGUUCCACAAGUGAAUUUGGGUAUCUUGGCUGAAACUUAUUCUGGAUUUGAAUUCCUUUCUAAGUUUUGUACCGUUCUGGUUCCCUGCACGCAUACAAGACAGCAACUGCUGAUGUUUACAUUUAGCUUUUGCAAUCACUAUUUUCUUGGGGUAUUAUGACUGAGGAAAUGUAUUUGUCAAUUUUUGAACCAAGAAUUGUUUCUCUUUGAUCCUCACAUAGACAUUCCCCUCUCAGGGAAACGAAGCUCUUUAGGAUUUAUUAUUUAUUAUGAAAUAUUACGUUGCACUUUUUCUGAUGUGUCUCCAUGUAGCUUCACAAAAUCACUACUCAAGUCAACCUUGUCAAGUUGGAAAUGAAUGCAUGACGUGUCUGUUGUUGCCUUGUAGGUCCUCAGAUCCGAUAUUGUAGUGGUAAACUUUUCUUAGUCAGGUAAUCUUAUUUCCUAUGAAGCGAACCCAAAAGCAUCCGUUCUGAUUGAAGGCACAUUAUCACCUUUGUAUUUGGUAUACAGCUCUUUGAAAAAGUUGAAGUGUGUAACUGAAAAGAUAACUUUAGAGGAGAAUUUUAUGCUGUCGAGUUGAAGUAUAAGGCACCUGCUAAAAUGAUCCUGAUCUUCUAUCCAUAGAGCAUCUGUUACGAGAUAAAGAGCAUCAAAAGGUAGUCCAAUCCCUCCACAUUAUCUGCAUGUUAUCUUUCUAUCUUAUAGAAUCAAUAUGUUCAGGUAGUGGAUGCAUUUAGAGUAAAGAAGCAAAAGCAAUACCGUGAUGAGUAUAUUUUCUUCUCGCUAAUAAUUCAUAAAAUCUGCAACUCUCAGCCAAAAACAUUGUUGCUUGCUUGACAUAUAGAAGAAAAUUUUAGUUUAUAUCUGAGCUCAACUGAAUAUGGUCUUUUUGCGCAUCAUGGAGUAUUGGUGUUGUGAUCACGACAUAUCAAACUAAGCUAGUGUGUAGAGUCUAGAGAAAAAUCUAGUAGAGUGAUCUUUUGCACUUUUAUCCCUUUUGCAGUCUUAUCAAUUCAUCGGGAUAUACCACAUACAUGUUUCUUAAGCUCAUACAGGACAAAUCCUUCACUCAAGCCUACUACUAUCACUAGAUUCCCAGACUGCUAUACGUGUUUAAUAAUAUGAAAUUAUAUCUUAUUGAAAUCCUUUCUACUUACUGCACUCCAACGAAACUUACCUAGACACUCUACGUUAUCUCUUUCUUUCUUUCUUUCUUUUUUUUUUUUUUUUUAUAUAAUCAAUAAAAUUCGUUUGCAAAUCAUGUUUCUUUUGUGUGUAAUUUUUCUUGAAUCUCGUGACUGGGGUUCAUAUAAAUAUAAGUUCAUGUUUUUAUAUAAAAGUAUUUACUAGGUUCACUUUUUAGGCAUGAAGAUGGUAAUGCAACUUUGAGGAAAGUCUGCUCUGUAGGAUUUUGUUUGGUCCAGCUAUUUACUUUAGAAGCUUGGUUUAGUUACUUCUAAAGCUUUUGAGAUGUAUGUAUGUUUAUAUAUUAAGGAUAAAGAUGAAGAGAUGUUGCUUCCUCUUUUGUGAAUUGCUUUCUCUUUUCUUCUAUUUAUAUUCUUAUUAUGCAAGUGUUGUUAUAGUAGCUCUUAUUGUGCUGCUUUUGUAUUUUUGAAUUUUUUUAUUCAUUUGACUCAAGCACGACCCCUAAAAUUCUUUCACAUGACAUGCACGACCCCUAAAAUUCUUUCACAUGACAUACUUCAUCAACUCUGCCUCCCUCUCAUUCCUCUGCUUAACAUCCACCAUCAUCGAUUUAGUGAUCCCUCUCCAUUCUUCUCUCAACUUCUUCAUCCUCCUCUCCUCAUGUCCCCAUAUUCAUUUCCACAUACAUCGUUGCUUCAAUACUCAUAGAUGCAAUCAUCUCCUCCAGUGUUUCAUUUGUUUAUACAAGUCCAUAGCCUCGCACCGUCCAAAGGAUCUCAUUUUUCCCUUAAAAUCAAGGGAAUGCAUGUACUUUGACUACAUCUUCAAAUGUGUGUGAUUGAUUGCCCAUUUUAGCAAUUUUAUCCUCAAAUUUUAGAAGAUCAUCCAUUGUAGAGCGCUCUUUUAGAUUUUAAUGAUAUAGGCAUAAUGAGAGAUUGAAUUUUCAAUGGAUGGUCUUAUAAGAUUUGAGGAUAAAAUUGCUACAACGAGCAAUCAAUCUCACACAUAUGAAGAUUUAGUCAAAGUACAUGCAUUCCCUUGAAUUUAAGGGAAAAAUGCGACCCUUUGGGAUGGUGCGAGGCUAAGGACAUAUAUAGACAAAAUGAAACACUGAAGGAGAUGAUUGCAUCUAUGGGUAUUGAAACAACGGUGUAUGUGGAAAUGAAUCUGGGGGUAGGAGGAGAGAAGAAUGAAGGGGGAUCACUAAAUCGAUGAUGAUGGAUGUUAGGUAGAGGGAGGCAGAGCUGAUGAGGAGGCAGCUGGACACAUAAGUAUGCCGUGAAAUAAUUUUGGGAGUUGCGCUUUAGAAAUGAGUCAAAAUGAAUAAAAAAAAUUAUGAAAGCAGCACUAUAACAACAUUUGCAUAAGAAUAAUAGAAAAGAGAAAGCAAUACAUCUUUAUCCUUAAUGUAUAAACAUGUCAAAGACUUUGGAAAUAACUAAACCAAUCUUCUUAAGUUAAUAUUUGUGCUGCACAUUUUUUGACCAGCAAUCCCACGUCCAAAGAACAAUUUAGGCUCGGUAGGAAAAUUUGGCAUGAAGAUUAACUUACCAAGGCUUUGCAGUUAUUCUCAAAGCAUUCAAUUUAUCCAAGGGAUCAUAAUCUAGUAACAUCAUUUAUGCCUUUCCACGUGCAAUACUCUUUCAGGUGACUAUCUAGAAACUUGCAGAUAUGAGAUGACUGGUUUAGGAUACAAUUCUCUAAGCACCAUGAUGAACAGCUUACUGAGCACCCUUUUCAUGCAUAAUUUUGAGACAAAGGUGCACACAUAUUUUGAAAGCAAGGUAAAUACACCAGAUCACCACCAAGUUUGAAUCGCUUCUAUGUAAGCUAUAAGUCUAGACACAGCUGUAAUUUGAAUAGUAUUUUCAUCUUUAUUCACUUAUGUCUCUUUUCAUUGAACAUUUAGUUAGUUUUCAUCUCGAUGGAAGCAUAAUAUUUCAAGUCGACAAAUUUGCCACCUCUCUUCAAGCAUCAACGUUUUGUUUCAUCUCAUGUAUUAUCGGUGUUCUGAAUUCCUUAUUCGAACAUCACCAACAAUAGCAAGACGACAAACUUGUGCAAUCAUGAAUUAUCCAUAAAACAAUUUAGCAACAUGUGCUUUGCUCGUAAAAUUAACAAAUGGCAACUAAGAAUGUCUUGUGAUUACCUGGUACCUGGAUUUGUCGUGGGAUCAUUGUCCACAACAAAUGGUCCAAAAAACUCAAAAAGUCAUCAUAAUCAUCCUGAUUAGUGAACCUACUGGAGCUUCUAGAGAAUGAUUUAGGUGGUGAGAUAUUUGAUAAAGGUUCAUCCUUUGACAUUCUUCAAGCCACAUCUUUCUCCAAAGAGAACAACCACAACAAACAAAAACAACCAUUGAUUGAAGUACUUGGUAGGGAAAGAAAGGAAUUUUAUAUGCAAUAAUGAAAAAAGCAGAAUACCUUAUCAGCUGUUGAGCUUGUCUUGUAUAGGCCAGAACGUGCAUUAUCUUAACAACACUGGUGAGGGAGGCGACAUUUAAUUCAGAAUAUGUGGGUGAGGGUAAUAGGUUUACUGAAGGUGAUGAUGCGUUAUACAAGUCAUAGCUUCAGUUAUGGUGCCUCCCAAGUGGAGAUGAAGUCGGGGAACUUUGAGACAUGGGACCGGAUGAGAACCUUUUGAGUAGCUCUACCAAUUGACUCCCAACAUAUUCUAGAAUAAAUUGUGUAACUGUCGAAUUCCUCAUUAUAAUGGUCCCUCUCCUUCCCCGACAAAUUCCUCACAAGUCUUCUUUUAGGGGAAAAGUUUAACGGAUCAUUGUUGACUGGACUCUGAACCAAAAUCACAUUAGUUAUCAUUAGUUUUACAUAACUCUGUCGCCAAAAGUUUAUAUACAAGGGAUUGGAAAAAGCUCAAAGCCUCAAAGGGUAUUCUUCCCUCUAUAUAUAUGUCAGUAUUUACUACCCACUGUGAUUACAGUACUUAAGAGAGAGGACGAUGAAAUAGGAGAAUUGAGCAAUUUUAGAGAGAGAAUGAGAGGUAUAGUGGUAAGAGUUUGUGAGGAUUGGUAUGCAAUUUGGAUAAAGAACUUUGAUUUUAAAAUUUUUCAACCCUUUUGGGUGAUUUUAACUACACCGGCUCAUUUCUGUUUGUCUCUCAUUCUUUCGAAAACUCUUUUUUCUAUAUAUUUGUUUUCAAUAACACAUUCAUACAAUAAAUUUUAAUCCAUUUUUCUCUCUUAUUAUAAAUCACGCAUUCUCUUAACAAAAUAAUAUUACACGUAAAUCCCGAAGUUCUUUUUACUUUUUAACUACACAUUUUUCAAAAAAUAUUAUUCCAAAAUCAAUUUUUCUCAAAUAAUGAAGCUCAAACAAGGGCUAAAUAUUUUACAUGUAAAUUUAAAACUUUUCUCGACUUUUUAACCACAUAUUCUUCAAAAAUUCAUUAUUUAAAAUAAUGGUUUUUCCCCCCAAAAAAUGCCCACCAAACAAGGGCUCAAACAUAUCCGUGUCAUAUUAUUAAAAAAAAAAAAAAAAAAAAGCUUUUCUUACAACCCCACGUCUUAUAAAAAUAGUCAUAUUUUGUUUUUCACACGGAUUAAAAAAAUUUAGUUAUCACACUUGAAACAAUAAAUGUUACUAUCAUUCUUCCUAACAUACUUCUACAUUCAUGCAAUCAAUAUUGAAGGUAAUUAAAUUAUAUUUGUGAUGACAAGGACAUUAAAUAAGAGCAAUUAAUGUAUUAACUACAGUUCCAAAUAAAAAAUAGGAAUAUAAUUCGGCAGAGACAAAAAAGGAAAACAGGACUUUUUUUAUGGGACUUAGGGAAGAAUAAUUAAGAAUUUAUUGAAAGUUUAUAAAUAUUUCAACCUUGUUUUGAGCCUAAUUUUCACCGGAAAGGGAAAAAGAGUUUGCAAAUGAGUUUUUGGAUAAUGAGGUUCAAAAGAAAUUUACUAUAAAUUGAGAAAUAUGAAAAAUUUAGCUAUUGAUAUUCUUGCACUUUACAAUAAAUUGAGAAAUAUGAAAAAUUUAGGGGCUGUUCUUUUCGUGCUUCAAUUUUAUAGUUUUGAGUUUUGAAUUAAUUUUGGAUUUUGAGUACCUAUUUCAAAAUUGCUAAAAAUACGUUUUUUUGUCAUUUUGAAAAACUGUUUCUCAAAAUAUAAAACUGAAAAACGCGUUUACUUUGAAAUUUUGAGAAUAUUUUUUUAUAAUAUUUUAUUCAAGAAAUAUGAUUAUUCAAUAAAUUUUAAUAGAUUAAUGUUCAUGUAAUAUUAAUUAACAUAUAAAUUUUGAAGUUGGUGAAUCUUGAAAUAUUUUUUGAUAGAGAUAAAAAACACAACUGAAAUUAAAUUUGGUAAAACAGUUCAAUAGACACUAUUAAAAAUUUACGUGUCAUAGCAAAACAAGCAAACACUAAACAAAAUAUAAAGUACAUCCGUGGAAUCAUGUACGACGUCUUGAGUAGUCAUUCCACAUUUGUGUAGCAAUUUGAUCAUUUACUUGUCCCAUUUGAACUGUUUGACUAGCAUCAAAAUUUAUGACUUCUUAAUCUUGAUUUGACUCCGGCAAAUUCUCCUCUGAUUACUCAACGACCAACUUAUCUAAAGUGUGCUCCUGACGAAUAAAGUUGUUUAUUGUGCAAUAUGCAGUAAGGAUUUGUCUUUGGUUACUAAGUGGAUAAUUGGUAAUCAACUUCAAAAUAGGAAAUUUUGCAUUUAAAACUCCAAUACAAUGUUCAAUAAUGUUACGGCAUGAGGAGUGUCUAUAGUUAUACAAUUCUUCCUUCCCACUUAGUCUUCCGCAUCCAACAUAAUAAUGUAGAUGAUAUCUUUGACCUCGAUAAGGAGCAAGAAAUCCAGGCAUGUUUGGAUAUCCAGAAUUAACAAGAUAAAGUUGAUCUGCAAAUUAAAAAAAAAAAAAAAGUUUCCUUAGUAUGACGCUGUAAAUAUGUUUGCAACGAUUAUUUGAAGUAUAGGAAUAUACCUCGUGGCAUUGGGAAGUUUUUUGAGUUCUUGUGGCUGCGUCAACGAAUACUCGCGAGUCAUUAGCAGUACCUUCCCAACCAGAAUACGCAAAUGUGAAUUUCAUAUCAAAAUCACGUGUCAACAUCACAUUUUAUGUUACAUUAGCUUUCCUUACACGAAAAGAUGUUUGUCUUAAUGCAGGUGCCCAAACUGCAACAUGUGUUCCAUCUAUUGCGCCUAUACAAUCCUUAAAGAAAGGAUAUUUGUGCAAAAUUCGCUCAUGCAUAGUGUCUUGAUUUGUCGGAUGGAUUAUCUCGGUGCCAAAUGAACAAACAGCCCUUAUAAUUCGUUUAAAUUAUUUGUGUAUGGGGUGUUGAAAUACUGUAACCUAUCACCAAUAACACUGUAUCGUGUAGUGUGCCCUACAAUCAUAAAAGACAUAGCAACACCCUCCUCGACGCUCACCUUUUUUUCCAUCUUUUAGCAACCCUCUCUCUUUCAAAAUAUCAGAAAAAUUCAUGAAAACAUGUUUCUGCAUACAAAAAUUACGAUAGCACGCGUCCGGAUGUCCAUUUAGAAUUUCUAGUGUGUACAUUUUUCCCAUAAGCAAUAAUGUUCUACAAGCUUGCUAAUGGUACUUCCUUUGUUGGCAACAAAGCAAUUAAGCAUCAUUAAAUCUCUAAAAUUUGCGUCAAAAUCAUUCAUAAAUAAAAAAUCAUCAUCAUUCGAAUCUUCGUCAAUGUAGUAUCAUCCACAUUUGAUUCACUGGUCAUACUGUGAACAAAAUAUAACCACAAUUAUUAUCAUAAGUCAUAUCAACCAUCAUUCUUUCAAAUAAAACAAGCAAUCAAGCAUUCAGAAAUUAAAGAAAAAUUAACAUCAGUUCUCUAACGAACAACAUUACUAAGUUCGUAAAUGAAAACAGUACAUCACCAUGAAAGGAAAAAAAGUACUUCAAGCUGUGAAAAUAACACAGUACCUUAACCUUCAACAUCACAAAUUAAAACAUGAUGCUAGAAAAAUUAAAACAGUAGUAACAUCAAAGUAGUUCUAAGAUAGGUCCUCUCUUUGCUUUUGGCAGCUUCACAAAUGACACCCUAAAAUCGGGAUCCUUAAAAGCUUUUAUCUCUUUCAUAUAAACCUCAUUAGAGACCCCUUCCAUCUUGUUUAAGAUGUCCAAACAAAUAACAUUUGAAUAAGGAACCGGACUAUUAAUUUCACUAUCCAAUUGAUUACAUGAUUUUCCUUGAAUCUUUACAAGCUUUUCUUUUAGGUAAAGUGUUUUAAGUUUAGUUUCUUCAUUCCUUAAACUAAUUGUAGAUGACCAUUGUACCAUGCAGGCCUCAAGUUUAUCACUUUUACUAAUCCUAGGUUCCUUACGUCGAUGUUCACCCGAUGUGCCAAUUUCGUCAUGUCGACGAGUAUUUGAAGCCUUAUCGACUUCAUUAUCAUUUUUUGCACGUCUAUGCACUCCCCUGUUCAAAAAAUCAUCUUUUAACUACCUUUCUUCCUCUGAUGUGUUUGGAAGCUGAGUGGAGGCCUUGUCUAAUCCUGCAAUAGCUGUAGUCCCGUUAAAUAUGUCCCCAAGAGUGUGGUAGUGCUUAUAUCCUUCCCUCUUGAACAUCUUGUAAUCAGACUUGUUAAUCUGUUAUUGAAAAAAGAAGCCACAUGUCAGUGUUCAAUAAGAAAAAUGUAAAAUUGAUAGGAUAAAAACUAAUGACGAAAAUAUUCUGUAAUAUAUAUAUAUAUAUAUAGACACCAUAUAAAAGUGUUGCCAUAAUUUCUACCUGAAUGUCCCAGAAGUUCAAAGAACAUGCGAUGAAUCUUAUAUAAACGGUUCCACUUUCCCUUUAAUCUAUCUAUGCCGUAAUCCAUUUUUGUUGAAGCUAUCAUGGUUUCAUUGAUCAUACCCCAUUCGUCUUUCAUGAAUGUAGAACAUUGUAAUGCGUUUGAUUUCACUUUUUCGUAAAGAAUUUCGAUAAAAGCAUGUUCGGUCUCGUCCGACCAUGACAUUGGUUUCUUAUCCCUACCUCUUUGACCACCCAUUUUCAAGCUACACUGAAUAUACUUCAAAUUAUCAAGAAAUAUAUAAGACCGUCCAUAGUCUACUCCAUACGUGAUACAUUGAAAGACAAGAUAUGUUUUGCAUGUGAUUUGCUUUUUCAAGUAUGGAAAAGAUUGCUUUUUAAACAUUUUUUCUGCAAUCAGAUUAAUGAUUCUUAUUUUUUCUUAGAUGAUACAAUCUUAUUUUUUCUUCCCUACUUGAUAUAAUGUUUAUGUUUAUGAUUGUUCAAAUCGAUCUUGAAUCACUUCUGAUCGUGAACUCGUCAACAUGGAGAUAUUCUAAAUAUCAUUUUUAAAUCCAUGUACUGGGUUAAAAUAUAAAACUUCGGCUGAUUGAUGACAAUGGAAAGGGUAACACUCAUUACUUCCGGGAAAAGGGCACCAAUUAAUCAUGUUAGUGAAUCCUUCCUUUCAUAAGAUCAGUCCACAAAAGGGAACUUGCCUUAAGCGUGGUCCAGCAAGAUUACAAUUUCAGACUUGCCACCGAAAAUACUCAAGCCACAGAGAAUCAGCUAAGGUUGAAGCAUCCCACGAAAUUAGCAUGAAACAAUUAUUGGAAAGAAAAUAAGCUAAAAGUAGCCCAAUCAUUGAACUUCGGACAGAUUUGAUUUUGCAAUAGCAGAAUGUCGUCCUAUAAUAUGCUGCCAAAAUAUAAAGAUCUAAAGCCAGAUUCAAGAAUUCUAAAGUCACUACAACAAAAAAGUGUUUUUACAACAUAUAAAAUGCAACAUUCAUCAAUUAAAUGUUGACAAAAGGGUCUAUUGCAACAUUCUAAUAAGUGAAUGUUGCCAUUGGUGUUAAUAAUUGAGAUUUGGCAACAUUUUUGAAGUCAAUGUUGCUAAUGUCUCCUUUUGCAACGUUUAUUUAGUGUUGCGAAACUUUUUAUAUUUGCAACGCUUAUCAAACGUUGCGAAAAACCCUUUUAGCAAUGUUUUUUGCAAAAGAUCAAAAACGUUGCGAAAAAUGAUCUUUCACAACGUUUAAAAAAAGUUGCGAAAUGUUAUCUAUUUUGCAAUGUUUGACAAACGUUGCGAAAAGUUGAACCUUUCGCAACGUUUUAUAAAUGUUGCAGACUCUCUUUGUUUAAAAAUAUUAGGCCAAUAGAGAAAAUCAAUAAUCCAGUCCAAAAAAACUCCAAACCCUUCCAUUUCCAUAUUUACCCCAACCCUUGCUGCCGGCAUAUAGAGGGAAAAACAAUUCCCAUUUUAUUUCUUUUGCCAAUCGAUCCCUCAAAUCCUGUAACGGAGAGACGAUUUUUUUAUUUGUUGGGCAACUGAUCUGCUGGGUAUGCAUUUGCAAGCAAGGUUUUCUUUUUAUGUUAUGAAAUAUGAGAAUAUGUUUGUCUUAGACAUAUACAGAUAGAAAUAAACGCUCACAGAGAUAUGAAUAUAUUCAAAUUGAAUAAAUAAAUAAUAUAUAAUUUUUAAUGAACCAUAUUACUUUCUGAAGCUAAUGAUAGUUGAUGCAUUUUUUUGGUUAAUUUUUGGUUCUAGAAGGGCACGUUUCUGUUCGUCUCUUUAUUGUUGGUUCUUGAAGGGUAAUUUUCUGUUAGUUGAUUAGCUAUUCGUCUUUUCCCCCUUUGGGAUCUAUGAUAGGUAAAAUUGGUGACUCUACCAUAAUUAUCCACUGUGUUUAUGUGUUGUUAAGUAUGCUAUACCUGUAAAUUAAUGUUAGUCAAAAUAUUGAUCUGGGAAAAUGCAUUUUGCUAGUCUAUGUUUAUCAAGUAUUUUGUCUGAUUAGUGUGUAUUAGUUAACAGAUUGAGCUUCUGUUUCUUGCUAGUUGGGUCAAACACUUCGUCUACUUAUGGUUUAUAUAGUCCUUCUGCUGUUUCUGGAUUUUGUUUAUAAAAGAUUGAGCUUUCUUAUCUUUAUUAUGCCAUUUUAAGUGCUAGAUACCCCUUUUAGAGAAUAAAUCCUGCUUAGAACAUCAUAUUUCUAAUGCUUAGCUAUUUUUGUCCUUAAUGCAGCUUUUUUCGUAGUCAAUAUAUAUUGCUAGAUUUGUCGUGCUACAAUUAAGAGAUCAUUUAAAAAGUUCUUUGUUUGAUUAGAUUUAGAGAGAGUUAGCUCAAGAUGAUUUUCUUAACGAGCUCUCAAACAGGCCCUAAGGAUGAUUAUUGGGGGGCUGGGGGUAUCUUUAGGAAAAAUGGACAUUCUGUGUGAACUUUUGAAUAAUAGUAGACCAAAUGAUGAUGCAGUUUGAUUUCUAUGGCUGAAUCUCAAACUGCAUUAAGGUCAAGAAGCUAUGCAUAUUUUAGUUUCUAUUAUUCAUAAUAUUCCAAGAUAGGCAAGUUUUUAAAAGAAAUUGUCAAGUACUUGUUUUGCAACUGAUUCAUUGUUCCUUUAUGCAAAGGUCCUGAUGUUGGACAUUUUUUUUUUUUGCUAUUGCUAGUGGUAAAAGAGAUUUUGCGGAAUUCAGUGUGAACAAGCCUGGAAAGAACAUUCGUGCCAUUGCUGUUUGAUGUUGGACGCUAUUUGCCUGUUAUAAAUGAGAAUUCAGCUCGUAGAAAUCUGUGUACUGUCAAGGAUUAGAGAACACAAUGACAGUAUUGCAAAGUGAGAUGAAUGCACCUUAGCCGCUUUAUUUCGUUUUUCAUUUUAUUCUCCAUUCGUUGACUGCGGCUUUUUUUUUUUUUUUUUUUUAGUUU
This 15792-nucleotide long non-coding RNA is filed under the name Olea europaea subsp. europaea. The record is from RNAcentral. Lineage: Eukaryota; Viridiplantae; Streptophyta; Magnoliopsida; Lamiales; Oleaceae.